Molecule: long non-coding RNA, 1261 nt
Organism: Trifolium pratense (red clover)
Lineage: Eukaryota; Viridiplantae; Streptophyta; Magnoliopsida; Fabales; Fabaceae
Exons: 3
Source: RefSeq, a predicted model, not a curated record
CAUUAAUACUCUUGACUUAAUCAAUCCUGAAUCCUGUACCAAUUGUAUGGAAUGAUUCAAGAAUCAUAAUCUGAUACGAUUUAUCGAUAUUACUGCAACAAUGUCUUGAACUCUUGAUUAUGAUUCAUGCUUAUAGUCAUGUAUUUAGCCAAUUGUUUCCCAAGUACUUUCUAAAGCUGUCCAAAAGAUUGAAUUUAUGUGAAUAGCAGUUUGAAUUUAUGGUGUUGUUUAUAUUAGCUUUUAAGUUAUAUAAGUGUAUGUUUGGUUACACUUUUGGAUGAUUUAAAAUUGAUUCUAUAGGUGUUGAAUUGAUUUUAGUGCAAUGAAAGUGUAUGUUUGGAUUAGCUUUUAAGUUAUAUAAGUGCUUUCAAUUCAUUCUUAUUCCCGUGUUUUGUUUCCCUUAUGUUUGUUUUCUCUUUGUACCUGAGUUGUUUUCUUUUGUAUGACAUCUUAAAUCCAGAGAGGAAUUUGAUGAAGAGAAAGAACCUGAUGGGAUGGUUCUCUCAGGAUGCAGUCAACCGGUGUCAGCAGCAGAGAUGAAAUCCAGAGAGGAAUUUGAUGAAGAGAAAUAAUGCAGACACCAAAAGCAAGGUUCAAUCUGUACAGCUGUUACUUGGCGGCCGUGAAAUACCUCCAACAGUACCUUCCAUGCCACUGACGAAAAUAACCGGGUAAUACUACAUUAUUUCGUUGGAGUGUGAUUGAUAGUCUUUUGUAGUCGAAUAUCUGGCUCAUGGAGCAUUCUACUAGGGAUUUAUCGGUACUCCUCAAAAAUUCAGUGUCCCUCAAAGAUUAGCUUCAUUGAUUAGAAGUAGCAUUAAGGAUGCUAACAAAUACUCUCACUAGCGGAUAAUUAAUUUGGUGGCACGAUAUCUUGAAGAUUGGGGGAGAAGACAACGAUGAUGGAUGGUUUAUUGAUAAUGUGUGUAAUGUUCUUGGCAUUGGCACCAUAGAUGGCUGGGUCCAGUUUGCUUCAAGAAUCUUGAUCCUAGUUUGUUUAGCAAAGCUGCAAACCCAGGGGCCUCUCAGAGGCUGAUGAGAAUUGGAAUUGGCAGACGUCUUGCUGCCAGCAGAGAGGGAAACUGCCACCGAAAUGUUGAGCAUUCUGUCAGAGUUUAAACUGCAGCAGCACCGCCCAGAAAUUAAGUGAAAAGUGUAGAGUUCAAACCUAGUUUCUAAAUUGAUAAGUUAGUUAAUAUAUGUAUAUUCAUGAUAUCCACAUACAUAAUGUCAUUGUCCAAAGAUAUCAUUUUAUUAUAGA